Molecule: ribosomal RNA, 2925 nt
Filed under: Escherichia coli
Lineage: Bacteria; Pseudomonadati; Pseudomonadota; Gammaproteobacteria; Enterobacterales; Enterobacteriaceae
Description: 23S ribosomal RNA
Rfam family: Bacterial large subunit ribosomal RNA
Source: RNAcentral
GGGUUGUGAGGUUAAGCGACUAAGCGUACACGGUGGAUGCCCUGGCAGUCAGAGGCGAUGAAGGACGUGCUAAUCUGCGAUAAGCGUCGGUAAGGUGAUAUGAACCGUUAUAACCGGCGAUUUCCGAAUGGGGAAACCCAGUGUGAUUCGUCACACUAUCAUUAACUGAAUCCAUAGGUUAAUGAGGCGAACCGGGGGAACUGAAACAUCUAAGUACCCCGAGGAAAAGAAAUCAACCGAGAUUCCCCCAGUAGCGGCGAGCGAACGGGGAGCAGCCCAGAGCCUGAAUCAGUGUGUGUGUUAGUGGAAGCGUCUGGAAAGGCGCGCGAUACAGGGUGACAGCCCCGUACACAAAAAUGCACAUGCUGUGAGCUCGAUGAGUAGGGCGGGACACGUGGUAUCCUGUCUGAAUAUGGGGGGACCAUCCUCCAAGGCUAAAUACUCCUGACUGACCGAUAGUGAACCAGUACCGUGAGGGAAAGGCGAAAAGAACCCCGGCGAGGGGAGUGAAAAAGAACCUGAAACCGUGUACGUACAAGCAGUGGGAGCCUCUUUAUGGGGUGACUGCGUACCUUUUGUAUAAUGGGUCAGCGACUUAUAUUCUGUAGCAAGGUUAACCGAAUAGGGGAGCCGAAGGGAAACCGAGUCUUAACUGGGCGUUAAGUUGCAGGGUAUAGACCCGAAACCCGGUGAUCUAGCCAUGGGCAGGUUGAAGGUUGGGUAACACUAACUGGAGGACCGAACCGACUAAUGUUGAAAAAUUAGCGGAUGACUUGUGGCUGGGGGUGAAAGGCCAAUCAAACCGGGAGAUAGCUGGUUCUCCCCGAAAGCUAUUUAGGUAGCGCCUCGUGAAUUCAUCUCCGGGGGUAGAGCACUGUUUCGGCAAGGGGGUCAUCCCGACUUACCAACCCGAUGCAAACUGCGAAUACCGGAGAAUGUUAUCACGGGAGACACACGGCGGGUGCUAACGUCCGUCGUGAAGAGGGAAACAACCCAGACCGCCAGCUAAGGUCCCAAAGUCAUGGUUAAGUGGGAAACGAUGUGGGAAGGCCCAGACAGCCAGGAUGUUGGCUUAGAAGCAGCCAUCAUUUAAAGAAAGCGUAAUAGCUCACUGGUCGAGUCGGCCUGCGCGGAAGAUGUAACGGGGCUAAACCAUGCACCGAAGCUGCGGCAGCGACACUAUGUGUUGUUGGGUAGGGGAGCGUUCUGUAAGCCUGCGAAGGUGUACUGUGAGGUAUGCUGGAGGUAUCAGAAGUGCGAAUGCUGACAUAAGUAACGAUAAAGCGGGUGAAAAGCCCGCUCGCCGGAAGACCAAGGGUUCCUGUCCAACGUUAAUCGGGGCAGGGUGAGUCGACCCCUAAGGCGAGGCCGAAAGGCGUAGUCGAUGGGAAACAGGUUAAUAUUCCUGUACUUGGUGUUACUGCGAAGGGGGGACGGAGAAGGCUAUGUUGGCCGGGCGACGGUUGUCCCGGUUUAAGCGUGUAGGCUGGUUUUCCAGGCAAAUCCGGAAAAUCAAGGCUGAGGCGUGAUGACGAGGCACUACGGUGCUGAAGCAACAAAUGCCCUGCUUCCAGGAAAAGCCUCUAAGCAUCAGGUAACAUCAAAUCGUACCCCAAACCGACACAGGUGGUCAGGUAGAGAAUACCAAGGCGCUUGAGAGAACUCGGGUGAAGGAACUAGGCAAAAUGGUGCCGUAACUUCGGGAGAAGGCACGCUGAUACGUAGGUGAAGUCCCUUGCGGAUGGAGCUGAAAUCAGUCGAAGAUACCAGCUGGCUGCAACUGUUUAUUAAAAACACAGCACUGUGCAAACACGAAAGUGGACGUAUACGGUGUGACGCCUGCCCGGUGCCGGAAGGUUAAUUGAUGGGGUUAGCGGUAACGCGAAGCUCUUGAUCGAAGCCCCGGUAAACGGCGGCCGUAACUAUAACGGUCCUAAGGUAGCGAAAUUCCUUGUCGGGUAAGUUCCGACCUGCACGAAUGGCGUAAUGAUGGCCAGGCUGUCUCCACCCGAGACUCAGUGAAAUUGAACUCGCUGUGAAGAUGCAGUGUACCCGCGGCAAGACGGAAAGACCCCGUGAACCUUUACUAUAGCUUGACACUGAACAUUGAGCCUUGAUGUGUAGGAUAGGUGGGAGGCUUUGAAGUGUGGACGCCAGUCUGCAUGGAGCCGACCUUGAAAUACCACCCUUUAAUGUUUGAUGUUCUAACGUUGGCCCCUAAUCGGGGUUGCGGACAGUGUCUGGUGGGUAGUUUGACUGGGGCGGUCUCCUCCUAAAGAGUAACGGAGGAGCACGAAGGUUGGCUAAUCCUGGUCGGACAUCAGGAGGUUAGUGCAAUGGCAUAAGCCAGCUUGACUGCGAGCGUGACGGCGCGAGCAGGUGCGAAAGCAGGUCAUAGUGAUCCGGUGGUUCUGAAUGGAAGGGCCAUCGCUCAACGGAUAAAAGGUACUCCGGGGAUAACAGGCUGAUACCGCCCAAGAGUUCAUAUCGACGGCGGUGUUUGGCACCUCGAUGUCGGCUCAUCACAUCCUGGGGCUGAAGUAGGUCCCAAGGGUAUGGCUGUUCGCCAUUUAAAGUGGUACGCGAGCUGGGUUUAGAACGUCGUGAGACAGUUCGGUCCCUAUCUGCCGUGGGCGCUGGAGAACUGAGGGGGGCUGCUCCUAGUACGAGAGGACCGGAGUGGACGCAUCACUGGUGUUCGGGUUGUCAUGCCAAUGGCACUGCCCGGUAGCUAAAUGCGGAAGAGAUAAGUGCUGAAAGCAUCUAAGCACGAAACUUGCCCCGAGAUGAGUUCUCCCUGACUCCUUGAGAGUCCUGAAGGAACGUUGAAGACGACGACGUUGAUAGGCCGGGUGUGUAAGCGCAGCGAUGCGUUGAGCUAACCGGUACUAAUGAACCGUGAGGCUUAACCUUACAACGCCGAAG